This 830-nucleotide ribosomal RNA is filed under the name uncultured bacterium. RNAcentral describes it as "bacterial SSU rRNA". It matches the Rfam family "Bacterial small subunit ribosomal RNA", at positions 28 to 853 of the family's 1533-position model. The record is from RNAcentral.
AUUGAACGCUGGCGGCAUGCCUUACACAUGCAAGUCGAAACGGCAGCACGGGAGCAAUCCUGGUGGCGAGUGGCGAACGGGUGAGUAAUAUAUCGGAACGUGCCCAGUCGUGGGGGAUAACGCAGCGAAAGCUGUGCUAAUACCGCAUACGAUCUAUGGAUGAAAGCGGGGGAUCGCAAGGCCUCGCGCGAUUGGAGCGGCCGAUAUCAGAUUAGGCAGUUGGUGAGGUAAAGGCUCACCAAGCCGACGAUCUGUAGCUGGUCUGAGAGGACGACCAGCCACACUGGAACUGAGACACGGUCCAGACUCCUACGGGAGGCAGCAGUGGGGAAUUUUGGACAAUGGGCGCAAGCCUGAUCCAGCAAUGCCGCGUGCAGGAUGAAGGCCUUCGGGUUGUAAACUGCUUUUGUACGGAACGAAACGGUGAUUUCUAAUACAGAUUGCUAAUGACGGUACCGUAAGAAUAAGCACCGGCUAACUACGUGCCAGCAGCCGCGGUAAUACGUAGGGUGCGAGCGUUAAUCGGAAUUACUGGGCGUAAAGCGUGCGCAGGCGGUUAUAUAAGACAGAUGUGAAAUCCCCGGGCUUAACCUGGGACCUGCAUUUGUGACUGUAUAGCUAGAGUACGGUAGAGGGGGAUGGAAUUCCGCGUGUAGCAGUGAAAUGCGUAGAUAUGCGGAGGAACACCGAUGGCGAAGGCAAUCCCCUGGACCUGUACUGACGCUCAUGCACGAAAGCGUGGGGAGCAAACAGGAUUAGAUACCCUGGUAGUCCACGCCCUAAACGAUGUCAACUGGUUGUUGGGUCUUCACUGACUCAGUAACGAAGCU